UGCAAGUCGAGCGGACAGAUGGGAGCUUGCUCCCUGAUGUCAGCGGCGGACGGGUGAGUAACACGUGGGUAACCUGCCUGUAAGACUGGGAUAACUCCGGGAAACCGGGGCUAAUACCGGAUGCUUGAUUGAACCGCAGGUUCAAUUAUAAAAGGUGGCUUUUAGCUACCACUUACAGAUGGACCCGCGGCGCAUUAGCUAGUUGGUGAGGUAACGGCUCACCAAGGCAACGAUGCGUAGCCAACCUGAGAGGGUGAUCGGCCACACUGGGACUGAGACACGGCCCAGACUCCUACGGGAGGCAGCAGUAGGGAAUCUUCCGCAAUGGACGAAAGUCUGACGGAGCAACGCCGCGGGAGUGAUGAAGGUUUUCGGAUCGUAAAACUCUGUUGUUAGGGAAGAACAAGUACCGUUCGAAUAGGGCGGUACCUUGACGGUACCUAACCAGAAAGCCACGGCUAACUACGUGCCAGCAGCCGCGGUAAUACGUAGGUGGCAAGCGUUGUCCGGAAUUAUUGGGCGUAAAGCGCGCGCAGGCGGUUUCUUAAGUCUGAUGUGAAAGCCCCCGGCUCAACCGGGGAGGGUCAUUGGAAACUGGGGAACUUGAGUGCAGAAGAGGAGAGUGGAAUUCCACGUGUAGCGGUGAAAUGCGUAGAGAUGUGGAGGAACACCAGUGGCGAAGGCGACUCUCUGGUCUGUAACUGACGCUGAGGCGCGAAAGCGUGGGGAGCGAACAGGAUUAGAUACCCUGGUAGUCCACGCCGUAAAC
Molecule: ribosomal RNA, 769 nt
Filed under: Bacillus sp. (in: firmicutes)
Lineage: Bacteria; Bacillati; Bacillota; Bacilli; Caryophanales; Bacillaceae
Description: bacterial SSU rRNA
Rfam family: Bacterial small subunit ribosomal RNA
Source: RNAcentral